Molecule: ribosomal RNA, 388 nt
Filed under: Prasinoderma sp.
Lineage: Eukaryota; Viridiplantae; Prasinodermophyta; Prasinodermophyceae; Prasinodermales; Prasinodermaceae
Description: partial small subunit ribosomal RNA
Rfam family: Eukaryotic small subunit ribosomal RNA
Source: RNAcentral
AUUCCAGCUCCAAUAGCGUGUAUUUAAGUUGUUGCAGUUAAAAGGCUCGUAGUGGGAUUUUGGGUCGGGGGCACCGGUCCGCCGUUCCGGUGUGCACUGGUGGCCCCUUCCUUUCUGCCGGGGACGUGCGUCGCACUUAAUUGGGUGGCGUUCGGAGUCGGCGUUGUUACUUUGAAAAAAUUAGAGUGUUCAAAGCAAGCCAUCGCUCUGAAUACAUUAGCAUGGAAUAACAUGAUAGGACUCCGGUCUUAUUUUGUUGGUUUCCGAGACUGGAGUAAUGAUUAAGAGGGACAGUCGGGGGCAUCCGUAUUUCAUUGUCAGAGGUGAAAUUCUUGGAUUUAUGAAAGACGAACGACUGCGAAAGCAUUUACCGAGGAUGUUUUCAUUG